GAUGAAGAACGCAGUGAAAUGCGAUAAGUAAUGCGAAUUGCAGAAUUUCCGUGAGUCAUCGAAUCUUUGAACGCACAUUGCGCCCGCCAGCAUUCUGGCGGGCAUGCCUGUUCGAGCGUCAUUUCAACCCUCAAGCUCUGCUUGGUGUUGGGGCCCUACGGUUGACGUAGGCCCUUAAAGGUAGUGGCGGACCCUCUCGGAGCCUCCUUUGCGUAGUAACUAACGUCUCGCAUUGGGAUUCGGAGGGACUCUUGCCGUAAAACCCCCAAAUUUUCUAAUGGUUGACCUCGGAUCAGGUAGGAAUACCCGCUGAACUUAAGCAUAUCAAUAAGCGGAGGA
This 339-nucleotide unclassified non-coding RNA is filed under the name soil metagenome. Its description in RNAcentral is "partial contains 5.8S ribosomal RNA, internal transcribed spacer 2, and large subunit ribosomal RNA". The stretch from base 1 to 121 matches the Rfam family "5.8S ribosomal RNA", at positions 35 to 154 of the family's 154-position model. The record is from RNAcentral.